RNAcentral lists this ribosomal RNA (253 nucleotides) under uncultured bacterium. Its description in RNAcentral is "partial 16S ribosomal RNA". It matches the Rfam family "Bacterial small subunit ribosomal RNA", at positions 524 to 776 of the family's 1533-position model. The record is from RNAcentral.
UACGUAGGUGGCAAGCGUUGUCCGGAUUUACUGGGCGUAAAGAGCGCGCAGGCGGUCGUUCAAGUCGCGUGUGAAAGCCCCCGGCUCAACUGGGGAGGGUCAUUCGAUACUGAUCGACUCGAAGGCAGGAGAGGGUAGUGGAAUUCCCGGUGUAGUGGUGAAAUGCGUAGAUAUCGGGAGGAACACCAGUGGCGAAGGCGACUUCCUGGACCAAUACUGACGCUCAUGUGCGAAAGCGUGGGGAGCAAACAGG